CCUACGGGUGGCAGCAGUGAGAAAUAUUGGUCAAUGGGCGAGAGCCUGAACCAGCCAAGUCGCGUGAGGGAGUACUGCCCUAUGGGUUGUAAACCUCUUUUGUCGGGGAGCAAAAGCCGGACGUGUCCGGCUGUGAGAGUACCCGAAGAAAAAGCAUCGGCUAACUCCGUGCCAGCAGCCGCGGUAAUACGGAGGAUGCGAGCGUUAUCCGGGUUUAUUGGGUAUAAAGGGGGCGCAGGCGGAUUUUUAAGUCAGCGGUAAAAUCGUGGGGCUCAACCCCAUCCAGCCGUUGAAACUGGGGAUCUAGAGUGUGCGAGAGGUAUGCGGAAUGCGGGGUGUAGCGGUGAAAUGGAUAGAUAUCACGCAGAACCCAGAUUGAGAAGGCAGCAUACCGGUGCAAAACUGACGCUCAGGCAAGAAAGCGUGGGUAUCGAACAGGAUUAGAUACCCGGGGUC
Molecule: ribosomal RNA, 456 nt
Filed under: uncultured bacterium
Lineage: Bacteria
Description: partial 16S ribosomal RNA
Rfam family: Bacterial small subunit ribosomal RNA
Source: RNAcentral